UGGGGAAUAUUGCACAAUGGGGGAAACCCUGAUGCAGCGACGCCGCGUGAGUGAAGAAGUAUUUCGGUAUGUAAAGCUCUAUCAGCAGGGAAGAAGCAAGACGGUACCUGACUAAGAAGCCCCGGCUAACUACGUGCCAGCAGCCGCGGUAAUACGUAGGGGGCAAGCGUUAUCCGGAUUUACUGGGUGUAAAGGGAGCGUAGACGGUAUGGCAAGUCUGAAGUGAAAGCCCAGGGCUUAACCCUGGGACUGCUUUGGAAACUGUUAGACUAGAGUGCUGGAGAGGUAAGUGGAAUUCCUAGU
RNAcentral lists this ribosomal RNA (303 nucleotides) under uncultured bacterium. Its description in RNAcentral is "bacterial SSU rRNA". It matches the Rfam family "Bacterial small subunit ribosomal RNA", at positions 355 to 674 of the family's 1533-position model. The record is from RNAcentral.